Molecule: ribosomal RNA, 477 nt
Filed under: uncultured bacterium
Lineage: Bacteria
Description: bacterial SSU rRNA
Rfam family: Bacterial small subunit ribosomal RNA
Source: RNAcentral
GACGAACGCUGGCGGCGUGCCUAACACAUGCAAGUCGAGCGGGGUUGAGGCGAGAGGUAACUCGAACUUCUACCUAGCGGCGGACGGGUGAGUAACGCGUGGGCAACCUGCCUCAAGGUUUGGGAUAACAGCCCGAAAGGGCUGCUAAUACCGGAUAUGCCUAUGGCCUCGCAUGGGGCUAUGAGCAAAGGGGAAACCCGCCUUGAGAUGGGCCCGCGUCCCAUCAGCUAGUUGGUGAGGUAACAGCUCACCAAGGCGACGACGGGUAGCCGGCCUGAGAGGGUGACCGGCCACACUGGGACUGAGACACGGCCCAGACUCCUACGGGGGGCAGCAGUGGGGGAUCUUGCACAAUGGGCGAAAGCCUGAUGCAGCGACGCCGCGUGAGCGAAGAAGGCCUUCGGUUGUAAAGCUCUGUCUGGAGGGACGAACAAAAUAGAACGGUACCUCCGGAGGAAGGCCACGGCUAACUACGUG